Molecule: non-coding RNA, 29 nt
Filed under: Homo sapiens (human)
Lineage: Eukaryota; Metazoa; Chordata; Mammalia; Primates; Hominidae
Source: RNAcentral
UGUGAUGCUGCUGCAGUGUGACAAUGUUC